AUAAAGAAGGUCCCCAGGAAAUUCAGUGGUUGGACCAGAUCACACAUGUAACUGAAUGACAGAGGAAGGAUUUGAUCUCAGGGCUCACUUCGACACAAGCUAUUUCCAUCCUCCCACUUCUUCAAGGGCCUGCAUAGUCCAAGGAAAAGUGGGGUCAAGCUGAGAGAGCUUAUGGAAAAGGGCAAAUUCUGAUUGCUGGAAGUGCUUUUUAUCUUCUCUCCAGGUAUAUUCAUGAAACUCUCCUUAGAUUUGGUGCAACUUCCUGCUGGGCUUCUUGUAGAGUCCUGGAGUCUUUGUCCUUGACUCUUGAUAUUAACAGUGCUGCAUGUCAUUGUUGUUCCAGGGACAUCUGGGAAAAUUCCAAAUCUCCCCUUUCUGAAGCUGACAGGCUUGACAGGACCUGCCAGGACUUGUGUUCUGCUGUCUUAACCAUCAAGGACUCAGUAUCUGCCUUGGAGAGAAAUCAGAGAAACACAUCCCUUAAAGAAGCUAUGAAAUAACAUAUUCCUUUCUUUUCUUCAUUGGAUUCAGUGGGAAUUU
RNAcentral lists this long non-coding RNA (540 nucleotides) under Monodelphis domestica (gray short-tailed opossum). Its description in RNAcentral is "lncRNA (ENSMODG00000041075.1)". The record is from RNAcentral. Lineage: Eukaryota; Metazoa; Chordata; Mammalia; Didelphimorphia; Didelphidae.